RNAcentral lists this long non-coding RNA (4970 nucleotides) under Sus scrofa (pig). Its description in RNAcentral is "lncRNA (ENSSSCG00000053938.1)". The record is from RNAcentral. Lineage: Eukaryota; Metazoa; Chordata; Mammalia; Artiodactyla; Suidae.
AAGGGGAUAAUUACUCUUAUCCAUUGAGUUGUUGUGAAAACCAAGGACAUUAAUUGAUGUGAGAUUAGUAAAUUCAGCAGUCCCAUUCUCAGCCCAUACACUGUGCUUAUAACCAGCCCUACCUCUAAGCAUCAUUUGCAUCUACAUCUGCCGUACUCAUUUGAUUAUUACCUUACUUGAAGUUAUGCUUUUCUUGAUUUUUUUUUUUUAAUUAGUGUCACCUUGAAGAAAGCCUCUUUUGAAUGGCUUUGCAGGUCAUGUGCACUGCCCAGCACUGGGGAGGGUCACUAUUCAUUUGGCCACGUGGUGAACAGCUUGUGGUUGUGUGUUGUACAGGGUCUGACUCAAGUGCCUGGCAGCCUGCUCUCUCUGUGAAUAUUAAACAUCAGGGAUUCUGUUUUCUAUUCCUGAUAUGUAAGGCCUGUCCUAGGGCAUACAGUAUUACUAAAUACUGGAUUCUGGGCUCUGGAUUGAAAAUUGUGCACUCUAUGAUUCAGUCUCAGGCCCAGCUUUCAGCCUCCCAUUUCAUCUUUGAUUGGACUGUCCUGGUCACACUCUUGGCAGAAUCCAUAAGCCACAGAAGUUUUCUGGUGAAGAGGAGUUUUGGGUCAUCAUGAUUUCAAAGUAAAAGUUAGUAAAAAACUUGGCAAGCCCACUGUUUGUACUUUGUUGUUUUAAUCUCAAAAUCCUUGUAAAUGAAGAUAUAUCAACAGCCAGGCUUGAAAGCAGAGGAAAAAAAAAUCACACACAUUUAUCCUAAACUCUUUCCCCCACUCCAGUUGUUAGGGAGAUUUUAUAUCAUCUGUGAAAUGUCAUAGUCUGACCUCUACUUGUUUCUGGAUGGGCUUUGGUUUCCUCAUCUGCAUAAUGGAACUAACCCUGUCCACUUCUCUGGAUUACUAAAGAGAUAUCUUGGGAAAGUACUGAGGUCCAGAGCCUGACCCCUAACAUGUGCUCAGACAGGAUUGGUAAGAGUUCCCCUUGUGGCUCAGUGGUUAAUGAACCUGACUAGUAUCCAUGAGGCUAUGGGUUCUAUCCCUGGCCUUGGUCAGUGGGUUAAGGAUCCAGCGUUGCCGUGACUGGUGGUGGGUGGUAUGAAGCCCAUCUUUCUCAUUCUCUGGUGAUGUUUUUUGUCAUUGGAUAGCUUUGGCGUAGAACCAUACCUCACACGAGAGAGGGGAAAAAAAAAAAAUCAAUUCCUCUGAAACUUCCACUAUGGGACCCCUGGGCAAGGAAGGAGUGUCUUCCAGUUUCCUGGCCUCCCCGCUAGUAAGGACAGGCAGCAGAAGGCCUUGCUGUGGUCAGAGGGCCGAGGAGCCAGACAAGCCUCUGUGGUUACGCACUUAUUUAUUUCCUUAUUUAUUACUUUUGCAGCUAACAUUUUUACAAUCAUGUUAUUUUGUGGUUUGUUUGCGAAAUGCAUUGUGAGCCAAGUUUGCGUCAAAUGUUCUCUGAGUUGGAAGAGGGUUGCAUUGGGGAGCCCAGGGAGAGGUGAGUGGAGGGCAAGAAAGCAGUUAUAAAAAAUGUUACAUAAUUGAUAUAUCUGUUAAAGAUCCUUUCUUUGUAAUCAGGCUACCCAAGGCAGAUGGAGGAAUGAAAACUGAGAAAACAUUGUAGGCUCUCAAGAAGUAGUAGGGACAGGCUUGGCAAUCUCAGAGGUGAAAUGGGGCCACAGCCUGGGGACUCGGGGAAAGAAAUCCGGGAAGAAACCCUGCUCCUGCUCACGGAACCCCAAGCACCAAAAAGGCAUCUUUUGAAAGACUUUGGGAAAGAGUAGAAGUUGGUUCUAGAGGAGUGAUGAAUAAUUAAUUAAUUCAUACGUGUUAUUAUUAGGGAGCUUAUUAUAAUCGUUUUUUGAAGAUUUUAAUAUAAACAAAAACCCAGUUUUCAGAGAUUAGCUGAAAUGGGGCUCAAGCGAUGCUCUCCCAGAGCUGUUUUCUUUUUAACUCUAUAUUCGUCUUUUCUCGCCCCCAGGCAGUAGUAGAUUCCUGAGAGGCUGCCCUGUUGUUGCUGAAGCUCAUUUUGCCUGUAUUCAAGUUUGUUCUUGUAUUAUUCCAUCUGGUUGCUCCCCAAACCACUUUCCUUUUUUACUCUCCUUGUAAAUAUUUACAUAAGAAGGUUUUUGCAGAAUCUUAUAUUGGUGGAUUGGCGCAAAGAGUUUUUGAUGUGUUUCAUUCCUUUUACGAACAAUUUGGUUAAGUGGAUUUCCUCCCAGCUCAUUGAAAUAAAAUCCUUUCAAUUUAAUAACAUCAUCAGACACUAAAUAACAUCAGAGGGAAAAAUAAGUUUGCAUGGCAUAGCCUCGAGUGGAUCUCAGCUGCUCUGUAGCUGUUAAUGGUUGAUGCAGAAACGGGUGAUUAUAGUGGAGGGCUGGAUGCUGUGAAUGCGAGCGUUUAAAGGCCUCCUCUUCCUAGGCAGGACAAGAACUUGGGCUGUUUUCUGGGUUGGCUGGGUGGAUGAGAGAUCAGGGCAACUGAAUCAUGAGAUUAAGACACGGUUCCCAAACUUCAGACACCAGCUCAUCUUGCCACCUGCCCUAAGGCUCUUGUCUUUGCUUCUUCUUCUCUGCCCUCCCUCUUGGACAAGUUCAUCCUUGCCACAGCUUUAAUAAAUACCUCUCCACAGGUAAAGUCAAACCUGCUUCUUUAGUUUGACCUCUUUUCUAAGCCCCAGUUCUGUAUUUUUAGCUCUUUUAGACAUUUCGGCAAGAACCAUCACUAUCUUAAUUCCACAGGCCCAAAGCCAACCUUAUCUCCAUCUGGACCUGGUCCUAGUCUGACUCCUGGGAACGUAGCCUCCCAUCUCCACCUAAACCAGCAGCAUUCACUCAGACACCUCGUUCCUAAGCUGUCACAUUUGACUCCUCCCUCUUUAUUGCUAAGUCCAAUAAAUUACAUUGCUAUUGUUUUUGACACCUCAUAGAGACUUACCUGGGUUUAUUGCUUAUCUCUGUUUCUAUCUUGGCUGUCAUUGCCUUAGGUUUCUUUAGGUUUCUUUCUUUCUUCCUUUCUUUCUUUCUUUCUUCCUUUCUUUCUUUCUUUCUCUUCCUUCCUCCCUCCCUCCCUCCCUCCCUCUCCUUCCUUCCUUCCUUCCUUCCUUCCUUCCUUCCUUCCUUCCUUCUUUUUUCUGGCCAUGCCUGCAGCAUGUGGAAGUUCCUGGGCCAGGGAUGGAACAUGAGCCACAGCAGAGACAAUGCCAAGUCCUUAACCACUAGGCUGCCAGAGAACUCCUGCUCUAGGUUUCUUUACAUUUUAUAUAUUCAUUUAUCUAUAUGCUCAUGCAUUCAACACAGAAAUUCAUUGAAUAUUUCCUAUAUGCUAGCUAUCUAGUGGGUGGUGAGGAUACUGAAUGUGGCGUUCCCACUGUAGCACAGUGGGUUAAGAUUCCAACUGCAGACUGCAGUGGCUCAGGUUGCUACAGAGGUUUGGGUUUGAUCCCCAGCCCAGCACAGUGGGUUAAAGGAUCCAGGGUUCCUGCAGCUGUGGCAUAGGUCACAGCUGUGGCUCAGAUUCAGUCCCUGGCCAGGGAAUUUCUAUAUGCCGAGGGCGCAGCCCUUAAAAACAAAAACGAAAACACGAACAACAAAACAAAAGCAAAAACACAAACAAAACAAAACCAAAAUGAAACAAAAUACAAAACCAAAACCCAAACCCCAGUGAGCAUAGUGUGAUCACAGGAGCAAAUCAAGGGAGGCUACAGGUUUCUCUGUCUAUGACUCUUCUAAGAUGCUUGCAACCCACUGUUGUCAUAUUUAUUUAUCUGACCCUGUUGCUUUCCUUCUCAAAUGCCAUCAGCUCCUUUUGCCAUUGCUUACUCAUUUCAUGUCAUUCAUCAUUUAUAUAUUUUUGUGCUUCUACCAUCUGUUUAUUAUCUCCAUUCUCUUGCCAUUUCGGUUCCUUCUUCCUUUGUAAUUUUUUUUUUUUUUUCGGCUCAUGACAUCCAGAAAUUCUUCACUUGGUUAAUUAAAAACAACUUCAUUCAUGCAGGUAUCCAUGCUUCUCGGAAGACCUUCCACUCCUCAUGGACUAUAACUUGCCAGCUUUCCCCCAUCCCCUCUUUUCACCUGUUCAUGCUCCAGGAGAGCAUGACAGCAUUUGAUACAGAUUAAUUUGGCUGUGAACUCUCCAUUCUGUAAUGCUAUCUUUGACCUAAACUUGGUAUUUACAGAGAGUCUUCCUUGAGUUAAAACCCCUGCUUUCCCUAACACAUACUCUUUGAUUUGCUUGAUCCCUCCCAGCCUUGGUCACUUUUGCCUAGGAAAGAGCCUGCCUCUUAUAAGCUGCAGUUCGCAGAAGCUUCUGUUAACCUGAGCUUCUUGGUCAGUACCAGACUGUGCCAGAGCAGAAUAUGCCGAAGAGAUAGUUUCCAUAUGACUAUUUAUUAUGUGACCUAGAAUAUAAAGCUGGGCAGUAAUAUCUUCAUAAGAAAUGUACUGUUCUGUAGUCCUUCUUCUUUUUUUUUUUUUUUUUUGUCUUUUUGCCAUUUCUUGGGCCGCUCCCACGGCACAUGGAGGUUCCCAGGUAGGGGUCGAAACAGAGCUGUAGCCGCCGGCCUACGCCAGAGCCACAGCAACACGGGACCCGAGCCACGUCUGCAACCUACACCACAGCUCACGGUAAUGCCGGAUAGUUAAGCCACUGAGCAAGGGCACGGAUUGAACCUGCAACCUCAUGGUUCUUAACCACUGCGUCACGAUGGGAACUCCUCUGUAUUCCUUCUUUGUCUUUGUCCAAUUUGCAGAUGAGGAAGGACAAAGUUUAAAGAAUAAUAUCUUGUACGUGUUGUAAUGAAUUAGAAGAGAUGAUAGAGAUGUUAGAAACUGGUUUUUAAUGAACCCAAAUUUUAACAUUUGAUCUCCUAGAUGUGUGUGACUGCAAUAAAAAUUUGUUGGAUGAUGUGAUGUUUUGUCUGUCCAGUUAGUCUGCUUUGUUUUAAUUUUCUUCCUGUUUAGUGUCUCCUCACCCCACCCC